CCUCCUGCUGAAGAUGAGAGAUGGCUCUGGGGAGAUUCCACUCUGUAAUUCAUUUAAGCAGGAUAAACAGAGCUCCCGCUCUGGAAGAUUCGGCCCUGAGCGAAAGGCACUUGGAAUCUAGGCUGGGAGCUCAGAUGUCCGUGUGAAACAGAAGAAAAUCCCCGAGCCAGGCGACAUGAGAUGCAGCCACUCUGACCCCAAAAAAGCCGCGGAACCUGAUGAACACCUUUCUUUGGCCAGUGACGCCAUGAUGUCCCCUUGUCCCCAUCAUUGGAUUAGAAAGUGUUCGGUACAAGUGCCCUUGCUCACCCCACAGGAUAUAAUUCCAUGCAGGUAAGAGAUUUUCCGUUUAGUCCUUGCUGUGUCCCCUGCACAGUGCCUCACCAUAGCAGGUAGUUAAUAAGUAUUUGUUGAAUGAAUGAACCUCUGUCUCAGGCAGGCAUCCCUGGAAAGUUCUGGCAUUACCUGUCAAGAGCUGAGUGGGGAAACUGCCUUUUUGGAAUGAUGCCACUCAUGACUUGGCAGAGACCACCUUGAGCCCUGAUCUUAGCAGAACAUACUCACUGACCCACAGAAGUUACAGGUGAAAAAGACUAAGGGGAAAUGCUAUCAGAAAAUGUCAAGUUGGAUAUUUCUAAGCUACACCCAGGGUAAAGCUCCUUCUAUACCCAUUUCCUAUAUCCUGCUUAUCACCCGAAUUCAUCCCUGUGUUGCCCUAUGGACUUUUAGAGUCUGAGUGACUUGGUGUGAUGCUAAAGUGAUGGGGAACUAUUUUGUAGUUUGACUUUGAUAUAUGGAGUUAUCUUUGACUGGAAUCAGUUGGACUGUAAGUGAGAGAAGCCUAGCUAGAAAAUGUAAUAAAAUGAAUAACACACAAUCUCACAGGCAUUCAGCACUAGAACACUGGUAUCAUCUGGCCAUUGGGCUCUGGACCAGGAAACAAAGAACCGGGGCUCCUCCCUCCUCCUCUCCUGCCCUGGGUCUCUGUGCCUUGGCUCUGUUCUCCCACUGCUCUCCAUAGAGCAGCUUCUGCUGUUUCCUGUGGUUGACCCCUCAUGACUUCAACUGGUAUAUGACUGACUCCAGCUCUCUGACUGCAUAUGACUUUGGGUCCCUCAAUAAGCCCACUCAGUCUGUCUCUAAAUGUAAAUGGCUACUCAGUCUGUCUCUUGGGAGAAGGAUUGG
Long non-coding RNA from Myotis brandtii (Brandt's bat), 1185 nucleotides. RefSeq lists it as uncharacterized. The record is from RefSeq and is a predicted model, not a curated record. NCBI's taxonomy places the organism in Eukaryota, Metazoa, Chordata, Mammalia, Chiroptera, Vespertilionidae. The transcript has 3 exons.